Magnolia sinica is the source of this 1329-nucleotide long non-coding RNA. RefSeq lists it as uncharacterized. The transcript has 5 exons. The record is from RefSeq and is a predicted model, not a curated record. Lineage: Eukaryota; Viridiplantae; Streptophyta; Magnoliopsida; Magnoliales; Magnoliaceae.
UGAGUUUUGAUCUAGGUCAAGGCGUCCACAAAUCAGGUCGCCAAUCAGCAGAUGCUUGUUACUGAUGAAUGUUUUGUUUUUCCUUCAUGGAUAGGCCGAACCGGACACUGACGAGGUUUUUGCUCAAGUGACUUUACUUCCUGAAGAAAAGCAAGAUGAGACUACUUUCGAGAAGGAGCCAACUCCUGCUCCACCCCAGCGCCCUCUUGUGCAUUCUUUCUGUAAGACGCUGACUGCUUCUGAUACAAGCACCCAUGGUGGAUUUUCCGUAUUGAGACAGCAUGCUGACAAGUGCCUCCCACCCUUGGACAUGGGCCGUCAACCGCCUACUCAGGAGUUGGCAGCCAAGGAUUUUGCACGGGACGGAGUGGUGUUUCCGCCACAUUUUUCGCGGUAAUCACUGGUUCAUCAACAGUGCAUGCUAUUUCAAAUUUCAAGCUAAUAAUCAUGGGAUAAAAAAGCUGAAUCAUUCUCCAAAGUUUUGAAUUGUUUCCCUCUUUCAAAUUUCAAGGUUGAAUGUGCUGAUAUUUUAUCAGAUCGGAGUCGGGAUUCUUUAAAUUCGCUGAGUUCUGUGAGUGUGGGCUGAAAUAGAAUUGGCACAUCUUUGGGGAGUAAAAUGAACAGUGCAUGCUCAAUGUGCUGUUCUUCAUUAUUAGUUUUAAGUUGCUAUGAAUGGCUUUACUAAUUAUAAGCACAAUGUUUUAGCUUUGGUUUUAUUUGAAGUUAUUAUAUUUUUUGUUGUAGGUCAAUGAUAAUAAUGUUGUUGAUGAUUUAUAUUGCUAUGAAUGCCAGGUCAACCACGGAGCACCUGCUUCAAAGCGGCUGGGGUGUCUUUGUAACUUCCAAACGGCUCGUUGCAGGGGAUGCAUUUUUUUUUCUCGGAGGUGAAAAUGGCGAAUUUCAUGUUGGAGUGAGGCGUGCUAUGAGACAGCAAACUAAUGUUCCGUCCUCGGUCAUAUCCAGUCACAGCAUUCACCUUGAUGUCCUUGCUACAUCAUGGCAUGCUGUUUCAUCAGAAACCAUGUUUACUGUCUAUUACAAACCCAGGUUAUAGCAUUUUUGUACAGUACUGCCAUGCGAGGUAUUGAUUUAGGAUUAAGAACUGCACCUAUAGUUGCACCUGUAAAUGUGUUGUACAACUGGUGGCAUGAGUUCAAAAAGUGGAGACCUGGGGAAUUAAAGCGUCUCCAAAUCUUUAUGCUAGAAGAUGUUCCUAGGUUUGAAUCUGCUUCAUACUCCUCAUCAGAAAGCCACUUCCCAUUUUGCUGACAGUGAUUGUUUGUAUGUGGUGACUUGUGACCUCCAAUUUUCUCAUAGGUUUUUUUGUUU